AUGCCUUACAAUGAGCGGUACACACCGUACAUCAAGCAGGCAGGACUACUCCCGUGGAUUCUGUUGGUCAGCCGGUCCACGCCGAAUCUAAACGCUCCACUGGUGUCUGCUCUUGUUGAUCGGUGGAGGCCGGAGAUGCACACUUUCCAUCUUCGGACUGGGGAGAUGACCGUGACGCUCGAGGUUGUCUCAUUGAUCACCAAUCUUGCUAUCGACGGCAGGCCUCUAUGUAUGAGCACCGAUUCUGAUGGGUGGUGCGAGCAGAUGAUUGCUCUUAUCGGUAUGGCUCCUACCGAGGUUGAGGCUGAUGUAGAGGAGGGAGAAGAGAAGAAGAAGAGGGAAAGGAAAGCAGCCGGAGCUGCUUUCACAUGGAUUCAAAAUAACUUUGCGACGUGCCCUCCGGAUGCCACUGAUGAUGUGAUCCAGACACAUGCUCGUGUGUAUAUGUGGUAUGUUGUGUCGAGGACUUUGUUUCCUUACUCCACUGGCAAGAACGCUCCAUGGAUGUGGCAGAAGGCGUUGACCGUCUUCGAUAGCAAAUGGAGCUGGGGUUCAGCGACUCUUGCCUACUUGUACCGACAGGUAGUUGGUCUGUUUUGUGAUCAACUCAUUUCUUCAUUAACAAUGCAAGCUUGCUGUCAAGUUAACAUUGUUUUUCUUUCAUAUGUAGCUGGACGAUGCGUCCUGCAGGAUCACAGAAAGUGCAGGCAUUGGUGGUAA
This 720-nucleotide ribosomal RNA is filed under the name Triticum aestivum (bread wheat). RNAcentral describes it as "partial small subunit ribosomal RNA". The record is from RNAcentral. Lineage: Eukaryota; Viridiplantae; Streptophyta; Magnoliopsida; Poales; Poaceae.